UGGGGAAUUUUGGACAAUGGGCGCAAGCCUGAUCCAGCAAUGCCGCGUGCAGGAUGAAGGCCUUCGGGUUGUAAACUGCUUUUGUACGGAACGAAAAGCCCUGGGUUAAUACCCUGGGGUCAUGACGGUACCGUAAGAAUAAGCACCGGCUAACUACGUGCCAGCAGCCGCGGUAAUACGUAGGGUGCGAGCGUUAAUCGGAAUUACUGGGCGUAAAGCGUGCGCAGGCGGUUUUGUAAGACAGAGGUGAAAUCCCCGGGCUCAACCUGGGAACUGCCUUUGUGACUGCAAGGCUAGAGUACGGCAGAGGGGGAUGGAAUUCCGCGUGUAGCAGUGAAAUGCGUAGAUAUGCGGAGGAACACCGAUGGCGAAGGCAAUCCCCUGGGCCUGUACUGACGCUCAUGCACGAAAGCGUGGGGGAGCAAACAGGAUUAGAUACCCUGGUAGUCCACGCCCUAAACGAUGUCAACUGGUUGUUGGGGUCUUAACUGACUCAGUAACGAAGCUAACGCGUGAAGUUGACCGCCUGGGGAGUACGGCCGCAAGGUUGAAACUUAAAUGAAUUGACGGGGUCAUAGCUGUUUCCU
Molecule: ribosomal RNA, 587 nt
Filed under: uncultured bacterium
Lineage: Bacteria
Description: partial 16S ribosomal RNA
Rfam family: Bacterial small subunit ribosomal RNA
Source: RNAcentral